RNAcentral lists this ribosomal RNA (475 nucleotides) under uncultured organism. RNAcentral describes it as "partial 16S ribosomal RNA". It matches the Rfam family "Bacterial small subunit ribosomal RNA", at positions 332 to 798 of the family's 1533-position model. The record is from RNAcentral.
UACACUCCUGCGGGAGGCAGCAGUGGGGAAUUUUGGACAAUGGGCGAAAGCCUGAUCCAGCAAUGCCGCGUGCAGGAUGAAGGCCUUCGGGUUGUAAACUGCUUUUGUACGGAACGAAAAAGCUCCUUCUAAUACAGGGGGCCCAUGACGGUACCGUAAGAAUAAGCACCGGCUAACUACGUGCCAGCAGCCGCGGUAAUACGUAGGGUGCGAGCGUUAAUCGGAAUUACUGGGCGUAAAGCGUGCGCAGGCGGUUAUGUAAGACAGAUGUGAAAUCCCCGGGCUCAACCUGGGAACUGCAUUUGUGACUGCAUGGCUAGAGUACGGUAGAGGGGGAUGGAAUUCCGCGUGUAGCAGUGAAAUGCGUAGAUAUGCGGAGGAACACCGAUGGCGAAGGCAAUCCCCUGGACCUGUACUGACGCUCAUGCACGAAAGCGUGGGGAGCAAACAGGAUUAGAUACCCCUGUAGUCCCAU